Gadus morhua (Atlantic cod) is the source of this 912-nucleotide long non-coding RNA. RefSeq lists it as uncharacterized. The record is from RefSeq and is a predicted model, not a curated record. NCBI's taxonomy places the organism in Eukaryota, Metazoa, Chordata, Actinopteri, Gadiformes, Gadidae. The transcript is spliced from 3 exons.
AAAGAAAACACCUUAACUAUUGCCUGUUUGUAAACCCUCAUUAAUUAAAUAAAAUAGUCACGGUGGCAUUGAAAAAGAAAGAAUACAUUUAUCCUUUCCUUUUACAAGAAAGAGACAUUGACCCGCAUCAAACUAAAUAGUAAACAAUAUAGGAUAUUACGUAAAAAGAACAGGCACUUCAAAGUAUCCUUAUUAAGGACCCAUAGUUAUGUCAGAAACCAGCGAAAUCUGAAGACGUGUUGCAUUGAGUCAUGGGGGUGCGAGACAUCUGGAAGAACUACAAGGUACUGAUAGUAAUGGUUCCGAGCCUCGGCCUUGUCCACUGGGGAUGGUACAGUCUGAAAGGGAAUCCACUUCUACAUCAGAACCGGGAGCUGGAAGUCCCCGAGCCGGCAGUCGUACGGUCCGUCUCUUCUAGAACCGCCAGUAGCUGAACACCCGACAGAAACGUGUCGCUUGGUGGGGGAGGGUUUUGAGCGAGGAGAACGGGAGAGGGGGAGAUGAAGCCCCAAAGCUGGCUGCGGAGGAACUGGAUGUGGGCGGCGGGGGGGGCGUUCGUGGGGGUCCACCUUGUCACAUGGCUCCUACAGAAAUCCAUGAAGCACGCUGUGCGCUCUGAGACGGCCCUGAAGAACAAGAGCACUCAGGACUGACCAGAACCAGGUAUACAGAGGUCUGACGCCACUCUGCAGGACACAACUAGGUCUACAGAGACCUAACCUCGCAGAACCCUGCAGGACAGAAACUGGUCUACAGAGUCCUUACCCCGCACAGAACUCUCCAGGACAAAAACAAGGAUGCGAUCAUACUAUGGCGUCGGUAAAGAGUAUGAACUUGGUUUCAUGAAGUAAAUCUGCUGUCCUCCUGUCUGAAUAAUAAGAAUAAAUUAAUACAUGUCUGUGUUGAACUAUU